This is a long non-coding RNA of Pseudopipra pipra, 996 nucleotides long. RefSeq lists it as uncharacterized. NCBI's taxonomy places the organism in Eukaryota, Metazoa, Chordata, Aves, Passeriformes, Pipridae. The transcript is spliced from 2 exons. The record is from RefSeq and is a predicted model, not a curated record.
GCAUUAGAGGUAAAAGAAGUCAUGUCUAAAAGAAGAAAACAGAAAAAAAAAAAGGAAAUUCUGGCAAAUUAAAUAGAAACCACAAAUGUUGACCUAGUAACCACGGAGUAGAACUCAUUGCUUAAAUCACCACUGAUGCUAAAAAGUAAACUGAAAUCCACUCUAGUUUAUAUUAGUGUGCUGGACUGCAAACUGCACAGCCUCUUGAGCUGCUACGUGUACUUUUCUGCUGGUCCUCUUCUGAGUAUAGUGAUUUAUAAGAUUGUGUGGAGUGGAUUGAUAGCCACUUAAUCUUAAAUCAACUAGCUCAAUCCACUGUCACUCAGGAGUUAACACUUUCAUGCUUUUCCCUAAAAAUCUGCUAGAAAGUUCCUCAUCUGACACCCCACUUGAUGGAAAAGGACCUCCUGUCUGACCAGAGCAGCUGCUGUAACGUGUGCAAUUGUUAGCCGAAGUCUCAUAACAUUUAUUCCUCCUACAGAGACACUUCACAUCAUCCUGAAAAGAUACUUCACGUGGGUCUGCUUGUAUGCUGCUUCAUAACAGUGAUCUCAUCCAUAUCUAGAGGGAUCCUUGUAAUGCACCUAUGCAUCAUAAACACUCCCAAAGCACCUGUACCUCAUAGUUAUUGAUUCCAUACAGGAUAUCUGUUACACAACAGGGAGGGGAAUGAAAGUGCCCAGAUGAUGGGAUGGUGAUAUGCCAUGGUCUGGAGCAACCUAGCCACAGAGCUAUUUCCAGCAUGUGUUUUUCCUACAAUUGAAGACAUAGAAAUAACAUGAGAACAGCAGCAGCAUAUCUAUACAGAGAAAACCAGACUUUCAGAUGAAGAUUCAUACAACCAGCACUGCACUGGAAAAACAAGUCAAGGGCUCACAAUUAUCCGAGUGAAACAGCAUCUCUUCUUGAGUGACAAGUGAAACAAUGAGAACAGAGAAGUAGGUACUGUACAAAAAUGCAUCCAAUGAAAGCACAGUAAAAUAUUUUUCUUUAUUA